Molecule: ribosomal RNA, 447 nt
Filed under: uncultured bacterium
Lineage: Bacteria
Description: bacterial SSU rRNA
Rfam family: Bacterial small subunit ribosomal RNA
Source: RNAcentral
UUCCAGACUCCUACGGGAGGCAGCAGUGGGGAAUAUUGCACAAUGGGGGAAACCCUGAUGCAGCGACGCCGCGUGAGUGAAGAAGUAUUUCGGUAUGUAAAGCUCUAUCAGCAGGGAAGAUAAUGACGGUACCUGAGUAAGAAGCCCCGGCUAACUACGUGCCAGCAGCCGCGGUAAUACGUAGGGGGCAAGCGUUAUCCGGAUUUACUGGGUGUAAAGGGAGCGUAGACGGCAUGGCAAGUCUGAAGUGAAAGCCCGGGGCUUAACCCCGGAACUGCUUUGGAAACUGUGCAGCUAGAGUGCAGGAGAGGUAAGUGGAAUUCCUAGUGUAGCGGUGAAAUGCGUAGAUAUUAGGAGGAACACCAGUGGCGAAGGCGGCUUACUGGACUGUAACUGACGUUGAGGCUCGAAAGCGUGGGGAGCAAACAGGAUUAGAUACCCCUGUAU